This 214-nucleotide non-coding RNA is filed under the name Vagococcus lutrae. Its description in RNAcentral is "T-box sequence". It matches the Rfam family "T-box leader". Rfam says of the family: Uncharged tRNA acts as the effector for transcription antitermination of genes in the T-box leader family. T-boxes are found upstream of many aminoacyl-tRNA synthetase genes and some amino acid biosynthetic genes usually in Gram-positive bacteria. The record is from RNAcentral. Lineage: Bacteria; Bacillati; Bacillota; Bacilli; Lactobacillales; Enterococcaceae.
UAAAAAUCGAUGAUAGAAAGAGUAACCCUGCGAAAAGGACUCAGAAACAGGUACCUUGGCUGAAAGUGCCUGACUUUAGCAGAAGUGAAAGACAUUCUGGAGAUGAGUAGUGAAAAGCUAUUCCGCUUACGAGGCGUUAGUCGGUUGAGUGGAAAGAAAAUAGAAUUUCUUUCAAUUAUAGGUGGUACCACGUAUCGAAUUAUACGUCCUUGUG